Salvia miltiorrhiza (redroot sage) is the source of this 1667-nucleotide RNA transcript. RefSeq lists it as uncharacterized. The record is from RefSeq and is a predicted model, not a curated record. The transcript is spliced from 10 exons. NCBI's taxonomy places the organism in Eukaryota, Viridiplantae, Streptophyta, Magnoliopsida, Lamiales, Lamiaceae.
UUUCUUUUUGAGAAAAAAUUCUUGCUUAAUUAUCAUCACUUCAGCAGUCAUCAUCACUCAGCGAGCAGCAGAAAGGAAAAAUGGCGAUUUUGCCAACGCCAUUGCACAUUACAAGAAGUGAUUUUGUCCAUCCCAAUCCCUAUCUCGUCAGCGUGCCGUCGAAGCCCACACGCAGCUGCGCUCGCCGUCCGUUUGUUGUCACCUUUUCUUACAAACCCAGGAACGAAAUUACUGGUAAUGACAAGAAAAGGGAGUUCCUUGAGCAGUACGGUCUUAAUCCCGAUGAGUUCUUACCUAAACCAUCUCGGAAGGUAAAGAGGAGAGGAGAGCAACGAAAUCCAGAAGCGAGAAACAAUACACCACUGCAGGAGCCAAAGCCGCCGCGAGAGACACACAAACUGCUUCAGGUACUUGGAGGUACGGCUCGGAGGAAAAAGUUACUCUCACCGAAGAGUAUGGACGUGCGGCCUAUGAUGGAAGUUGUAAAAGGAGCAGCUUUUUCAAUUUUACAGGCAGCGGGUGGCUCGCCUCAGUCUCUGAGGCCCGGGCGCUGGUUAGACUUGUACAGCGGCACAGGAUCCGUUGGUAUUGAAGCUAUCAGUAGAGGAUGUUCUGAGGCUCACUUUGUGGAGAUGGAUCCUUGGGUUAUCUCGGAUGUGCUAAAGCCUAACUUGGAGUCAACUGGAUUCCUUGAGGCUUCGGUUAUACAUACUGCCCGUGUUGAAACCUUCUUGGAAAAUGCACAAAGAUAUCUAGGGAAAGAGGCGGCGUUUGAUUAUAUAAGUGUUACUCCUCCAUACAUGCUUGUAGAUUACACAGUUCUGAUGGAUCAGGUUUCUAAUUCAUCGGUGGUUGGGGAGAAUACAUUUAUAGUAGUUGAGUACCCUUUGAGAACUGACAUGCUGGAUUCGUGUGCGUGCUUGGUAAAGAUAGCUGAUCGGCGGUUUGGCAGGACACAUUUAGCAAUAUACGGACCGCAGUGGGCCCAAAAGAAGAGUAAACUGGAGACAUGACUAUCAUUAUUGCACAAAUGAUUAGAAAUUCGUAUGUACUCUGAUGAUUGCGAUCACGUUGCAGCUGAUCAGUCGACUUGCAAUGCAAGUGCAGCUUAUGCUCCAGGAACUAAGAGAACAAAAGAAAGCACAAGUAUGAUGCUCGAAAACGUGGAAUUUGCAGGCACACUCUUGAAUCUAAGGUGCAUACUCUCGAACUCGUACUCAUGGUUUCAUGCUUGAUCCGAUUCUCUCUUUCGCCACUCAUCUUUGCAAGGGAUAUGAAACUGAAGCCUAUAUCUGUGCACUAUACUCGAGUUUGAAUAUUUGCUUGAUAUACAGCUAAGUUUUAUGUCCCUUGAUUGGAAUAUACGCACUCGAAACACUGUUUAAAUUGCCUCUUGUUCAUUUGAAAUUGGUGUUGGGCCUUUUGAAUAAGAAACAAGAUUGAAGUUGUAGAGAUCUUGCUUUUUAGGACCAUAGAGUGUAGGUAUCCCCUAUUUUUGGACAUGUACGUAGCAGGAUGUAAUAGAGAUGGAAACGCAGUUGUCUUUAGACGCUCCAUUCGCCUUUUUUAGAGUUAAUAGUGUUUUAUGUCCGAACUUUCAGUGCUUUUCAUAAAAUAUCUCCAACUUUCGUUUUCUCCUAAGAAAUCCCGAACUUUCAGUGUUUUUC